UAUUUUUGUGUUACACAGUUGGUCUCAUAAAUAGUUGGUAAACCAAUUACUAAAUUACAAGUAUCAUCGAAGUCAAUAAUAAAUAAAUAUAAUAUUGGAGCAGUUUUGAAAACAAUAUUUUUAUACCACUUAUCAAAAUGGAGCUCAACUCUAUAAUGUUUCACCAAUCGGAUGUGAUUCUUUCAUCUAAUCUCCAACAUUAUUUGUCCUUCAUUUAUAUAGUUGACUAGAGAGGCUAUGCAAACUGGAAUCCGGGAUGUAGACUCACUGAGUCACUGGUGAUAAUUGGUACAGUAGAUAAUAUAAGUUGAUCGUUGAUGAUGGACCGAUCGGAAAGAGUUUUUUGGCUAUUGAGACUAUUAUUAAUUAAGAGCGUUUCGAUUAUGCUGGUGCGGAGAAGAAAAAGUUCUGUAUCUACAUUGCUAUCGGUCAAAUGAGAUCUACAGUAACUUGGAUCGUGAAAAUAGUGACGGCACUGCUAUUAACUAUUCUAUCAUCGUAUUCGAUACCGUGUCUGAUGCUGCUCUUUUCUUACACUUUUUUGCCAUGUGCCAUGGCAGAACUUUUUUUUUGUGACAACGGCAAACAUGUCUUCAUUAUUUAUGAUGAUUUGUCAAAAUCGGUAAUUGCUUACCAUUAAAUACUUUUAUUUUUGAGACGACCUUUAGGAAAUGAUGCUUAGCCUCGUCAUGUAUUCUAUAUUCAUUCUCGUUUUCUUGAAAGAGCAGUAAAAUCCAUUAAAUGUACAUAAAUAAUUGAGUUCGGACCGUCAAUAAUUUUACAAACCUGCUCCAAUAUUAUAUUUAUUUAUUAUUGACUUCGAUGAUACUUGUAAUUUAGUAAUUGGUUUACCAACUAUUUAUGAGACCAACUGUGUAACACAAAAAUACUAGUUGAACGGCAAGUUAAAAUACUUGAUAAUAGGUGACACACCACGUAAGUUACAAAACAGAGCGGUAAAUUAUAAA
Microplitis demolitor is the source of this 968-nucleotide long non-coding RNA. RefSeq lists it as uncharacterized. The record is from RefSeq and is a predicted model, not a curated record. Lineage: Eukaryota; Metazoa; Arthropoda; Insecta; Hymenoptera; Braconidae. The transcript has 4 exons.